GAUGAAGAACGUAGUGAAAUGCGAUAAGUAAUGCGAAUUGCAGAAUUUCCGUGAGUCAUCGAGUCUUUGAACGCACAUUGCGCCCCCUGGUAUUCCGGGGGGCAUGCCUGUCCGAGCGUCAUUGCUGCCCUCAAGCACGGCUUGUGUGUUGGGCCUCCGUCCUCCUCCCGGGGGACGGGCCCGAAAGGCAGCGGCGGCACCGCGUCCGGUCCUCGAGCGUAUGGGGCUUCGUCACCCGCUCUUGUAGGCCCGGCCGGCGCUUGCCGACACAUCAAUCUUUUUUCCAGGUUGACCUCGGAUCAGGUAGGGAUACCCGCUGAACUUAAGCAUAUCAAUAAGCGGAGGA
This 346-nucleotide unclassified non-coding RNA is filed under the name soil metagenome. Its description in RNAcentral is "partial contains 5.8S ribosomal RNA, internal transcribed spacer 2, and large subunit ribosomal RNA". The stretch from base 1 to 121 matches the Rfam family "5.8S ribosomal RNA", at positions 35 to 154 of the family's 154-position model. The record is from RNAcentral.